RNAcentral lists this ribosomal RNA (2618 nucleotides) under human gut metagenome. Its description in RNAcentral is "bacterial LSU rRNA". It matches the Rfam family "Bacterial large subunit ribosomal RNA", at positions 1 to 2557 of the family's 2925-position model. The record is from RNAcentral.
GCAAGAUACCACGGGCGCACGGCGGAUGCCUUGGCACAGGGAGCCGAUGAAGGACGCGGCAAGCUGCGAUAAUCCCCGGCGAGGAGCACACAUCCUUCGACCCGGGGGUCUCCGAAUGGGCGAACCCAUCCACAGCAGUGUGGAUAUCCCCACCCCGAACACAUAGGGGUGGGGAGGACAACCCGGGGAACUGAAACAUCUAAGUACCCGGAGGAGAGGAAAUCAAUCUCGAGACUCCCCGAGUAGCGGCGAGCGAAAGGGGACCGAUGGCCAAACCGUCGAGCGGGCAUACCCGGCAGGGGUUCCGCCGACGGGGUUGCAGGGCCGCGCAUCCGGGGGCUGCCGCCCCCGGGCGCAGGUCCGGCUGGGGAGCGGAACGGCAUGGGAGGGCCGGCCGCAGCGGGUGACAGCCCCGUACGCGAACCCAGACCGGACGGCGCGACGCGGUCCCUGAGUAGGGCCGGGCACGUGAAACCCGGUCCGAACCUGGGUGGACCACCAUCCAAGCCUGAGUACUACCCUGUGACCGAUAGCGCACCAGUACCGUGAGGGAAAGGUGAAAAGCACCCCGGGAGGGGAGUGAAACAGUACCUGAAACCGUGCGCCCACGAGCAGUCGGAGCACCCUUUUAGGGUGUGACGGCGUGCCUUUUGUAGAAUGAGCCAGCGAGUCGCUGGCGCGGGGCGAGGUUAACCGAAAGGGAGCCGGAGCGAAAGCGAGCCUUAACAGGGCGACUUGAGUCCCGCGCCGCGGACGCGAAGCCGGGUGAGCUAUCCGUGGGCAGGCUGAAGCGGGGGUAAGACCCCGUGGAGGGCCGAACGCACGUCGGUUGAAAACGGCGGCGAUGACCUGCGGAUAGGGGUGAAAGGCCAAUCAAACCCGGAGAUAUCUCGUUCUCCCCGAAAUAGCUUUAGGGCUAGCGUCGCGCGUUCACCGCCGGAGGUAGAGCACCGGAUGGACGAGGGGGCUUCGCCGCCUACCGAAUCCAACCGAACUCCGAAUGCCGGCGGCCCAGAGCGCGGCAGUCAGAGCAUGUGGGCUAAGCUGUGUGCUCGAGAGGGAAACAGCCCGGACCGCCCGCUAAGGUCCCCAAGUUCCAGCCGAGUGGCAAAGGAUGUGCGUCCGCCCAGACAACCAGGAUGUUGGCUUAGAAGCAGCCAUCCAUUCAAAGAGUGCGUAACAGCUCACUGGUCGAGUGGACAUGCGCCGACAAUACACGGGGCUAAGCUGGACACCGAAGCGGCGGGAUUUUAAUUCAUUAGAAUCGGUAGGGGAGCUUCCCAUGGGCGGAGAAGCCGGAGGGCGACCGACGGUGGAGCGCAUGGGAGUGAGAAUGCUGGCAUGAGUAGCGAGAGACGAGAGAGUAACUCGUCCGCCGUGAACCCGAGGUUUCCUGGGCAAGGCUAAUCCUCCCAGGGUCAGUCGGGGGCUAAGGCGAGGCCGGUAGGCGUAGCCGACGCGCAGCAGGCAGACAUUCCUGCACCGCGCACGCGGCGCUACGACCGACGGGGCGACGGAUGGGGGUGGCUCGGCGGGGUUCUGGACGUCCCCGUGAUGGAGCGCGGCCCGCGGACCAGGGAAAUCCGGUCCGCAUUGAGGGCGAGGCUCCGGACGAAGCGACUGAGCGAAGCGAGUGAGCCCGAGGUCCCUAGAAAAACCCCUAGGCAGGCGCGUGCGCGCCCGUACCGCAAACCGACACAGGUGGGUGGGUAGAACAUACCGAGGCGAUCGGGUCAACCAUGGUCAAGGAACUCGGCACAAUGGCCCCGUAACUUCGGGAGAAGGGGUGCCCGCGCGUACGUGAACCGGCUUGCCCGGGGAGCGGAGGCGGGCCGCAGUGGAGAGGCCCAAGCGACUGUUUACCAAAAACACAGGACUCUGCAGAAGCCGCAAGGCGACGUAUAGGGUCUGACGCCUGCCCGGUGCCGGAAGGUCACGCGGAGGAGUUAGCCGAUUCGGCGAAGCCCCGAAGCCAAGCCCCGGUAAACGGCGGCCGUAACUAUAACGGUCCUAAGGUAGCGAAAUUCCUUGUCGGGUAAGUUCCGACCUGCACGAAAGGCGCAACGACUUGGGCGCUGUCUCGACCAUGGACCCGGUGAAAUUGCACUGGUCGUGAAGAUGCGACUUACCCGCGGAAGGACGGAAAGACCCCGUGAACCUUCACUGCAGCUUGGCAUUGGCCGCUGGUCCCGCGUGUAGAGGAUAGGCAGGAGGCACAGAUCCGGAGGCGCCAGCCCCCGGGGAGCCGCCCUUGGAAUACUGCCCUCGCGCGACCGGCGUCCUAACCCGAGGCCGUCAACCGGCUCGGGGACCGUGCCAGGCGGGCAGUUUGACUGGGGCGGUCGCCUCCUAAAGGGUAACGGAGGCGCGCGAAGGUCCGCUCGGGACGGUCGGCAACCGUCCUUUUGAAUGCAAGAGUACAAGCGGGCUUGACUGCGAGGCCCACAAGCCGAGCAGGUGCGAAAGCAGGCUCUAGUGAUCCGGCGGCCCCGAGUGGGUGGGCCGUCGCUCAACGGAUAAAAGGUACUCCGGGGAUAACAGGCUGAUCUUGCCCAAGAGUCCACAUCGACGGCAAGGUUUGGCACCUCGAUGUCGGCUCAUCGCAUCCUGGGGCUGGA